RNAcentral lists this long non-coding RNA (5549 nucleotides) under Olea europaea (common olive). Its description in RNAcentral is "long non-coding RNA (OEUR_LNC009872)". Lineage: Eukaryota; Viridiplantae; Streptophyta; Magnoliopsida; Lamiales; Oleaceae. The record is from RNAcentral.
CAAUCACAGGUGCAACUGCUUGUCCCGCUCAUUGAACAUCCACUCGAUCCACUCAAAUUUCUCAUUAACGUCAUUCAUGACGCCGAGCAUGUCCCAGUAGCGCUUCUGUGCAAGAAGUGCACAUGCGAAAAAGUAGAGAGGUGUACGCCGCUGCAGUCGUCCCGUCGCCAACAACUCUUCAACGCAAGCAAUGCCGGCAUUGUUUUUCGAAGUCAUCAUGGUAUUAAUUUUCACUGCCACUUUCUCCCCUGCACUGGUGGCACGGUCGAUUGAGAACAACAACUCACGCGCUGAGAUCUUUUUCUUCUUGCCACGUUGCUUAGCGCUAGAAGACUUCCUUUUACGGCCACUGGUGGUGCUAGAGACGUUUAUGCCAACUCCGACGUUUGCUUUGUCCAUCUCAUCACAAGAACCACUGCUCUCCCCGUCAAUCGGGAUUACGUCCAUAUUGUCUUCGAGCACACUAUCCUCGAAUAGGCAGAAUCCAGUUUUGCACAAUUUUGUUGGCGUGACUGCGUACUUGUCGCCGAAUAGCUGACGGUAGCGAACAUAGAUAUUGUUGACGUCCUUGUCUUUAAAUUCUUUAUCGUCCUUAUUUUCCUGCGAAUAAAGGUUUCACCAGUGAGGCUACCAUUUUGGGCAUUGUAAAGAGUUCUAGAAAAACAAUACAACACUGUUAGAGUCACGAGUCACUUUAUAGGAAGCCUGAUAUUUACACGAGAGUUGCGUGCAAUAGUAGAAGUAAAAAUUACAAUUCCGACUUGGGCGUAAGAUAAAUAAGCCGAUUCAUUGGUCCUUUCGAAUUUCCACAAGUAAACUGGAGUGCAACAUAACUGUUUCGACUUACAUGCAAUGAUAUAACAACACAUCACACGUGUUUCUAGUUUAUUUCGUCUGCAUUAUUAUCAUUAAUUUUUCUCUAACUAGUAUAUCUUAUAUUUCUUCCAUAAAAUAUGUUACACAACACAAAAAGGCCUAUUGUAAUUCAUAUAUAUAAUUACUUUGACAAAUUUUUGCCACUCAUUUUAAAGCACCGUAACGAAACAUUUGCACAUGUAGGCAAAGAUUAAUGGAACGUUAAAGAUAAUUUUGUUUCUAAAACAAAUUAAUCAUGUAAUAUGACGGAAUGAAUUUUAAAGACUUUCAUCGUAAUUCAAAACAAACUAAUGAAGAUGUUUCCUUUGUUUUUGAGGUCCAAUUUGUUUCUUGACUCAUAGCUAUCAAAACUAAAGAAAAAGAAAUUCUUUCUGCACUUGUAACCCUUCCAACAUAUGUCUAUCUCACUGAUCAUUUCGAACAAUAAUUCGUAAAACUGUCAUAAACGGGCAGAUAUGUUCUUGUUCUAGAAUUCCCACAUAUUUUCUUGGUCCUCAAUCUAUCUUCGACAUCACAAUCACAUGCUAAUCAAAAGUAAAGCAAGUGCAAUUAGUUGUAGCCUACAUCUUCUAAUGUUACAGUUUCAUGUAAAUUAAAACUUUGAAAAACAGUGGUUACAUAAUGGAAACUAACAUUAUAUAGUUGGCACUCAUGUCGAAAGAAGACUGUAUUCCCUAUUUCAUUCUGGAUUGGCAUCCAGAAACUGACGUUCGUUCAAGGAUUGAAAGAACAUACAUAUCACGUUGGAGUACACAAGGCAUUCUAUACAAUCGUGAUAUUGAUGAGGAAAGUUGUGAAACGGUUACCUUAAUCUUUCGGUUCCACCAUUCCUUCGAUGCGACAAUUUGGUCGGUGGAUUCGUUGUACGCAACCCCGCUGCUAUUUAAAAGCUCAAAGAGACGUUUGUGUGUUCGAUGCAUUGCAUCCCAGCAGUUGCGUAGUUGCUGCUUGCUCCAGUUGUGGCUGGUGAUUAUUUUGAAAAUCGCGGAGACUCGUUGCCAGCCGUAAUUCGUAAAACACCGGUCAUUCCGACGUCCCUCGACGAUGGCAGUUUCACAGGCCGCAAUGAAAGUUCAUGUAUCUGGGCUCCAACGCGCAUAAGUUUUGGACCCCGAGGCUCGACCCCCUCCUAUGCGAAGGGCGGCUCGCUUAGUGGAACGUUUCCAUGCUGCAAAUUUAGGAGUCGAACUCAGCAAUGACGCAAAAUUGAACGGAAAGUGCGGGACAAAUGGUGGGGAAAGAUGAAGUACCUGUAGGCUGACGAGCUCCAUUUGGGGUCGGCGGAGAUGCGUUCCGAUGGCGGAGUUCUCUGGAAGAGUUACUGCAACGACACUGCCGACGUCGUUGAUGCUUUUCCUUGCAAGCUUUCACAUGCGUGUCGCUGAUGACACCCUAAAUCCCGUCUGGUGAUUGUGGCGUUCGCGGUGGUCGUCUGGUUUGGCGAAAGUGGACGCUGAUCUUCGCUUUCUCGUCUCCACAAUGAGAGAGUUUAGGGCUGUCGGUGGAAAGGGUAAAAAUUGGAAAGGGCAAAGUUUAAUGACUGUGAAGUUUCAGAUGGGUUGUCAGAAAAGUGCAGCAGAACGGUCAAAUAAUAUUUUAUUGGCAGAAGAAAAUGGGAACAAACGGGUGGUUAAUUAAUGGGGGUGUUCGAUAGUCAUUUUUAUAUAAAAAUACAUUUUAAAAUAGUAAAUUGAUAUGAAAUGUGUAAUUAAAAAAUAAAAAAUAAAAACUUAUUUACUUAUAAUAUUAUUUUAAUAAAAAAUGUAUAAUGAAAAAGAAGAGGAAGAAAAAUACAUUUUGAAAAAAAUAUUACCAAACGAGGCCUAAGUUGUCUUGAAUGUGGAGUACGCAAGCUCCUGUCAAGAUAAUUACACUGAUUCUACGUAAUAAAAGCGUGUUGUCAGUACUCAAAAUAAGUCAAAUUUUCCGUCCUGUUAAUUAACGUGAUCCUUAAAAGUUACUUUUUCCCCUUACACAAAUAACUUCCUAAAGACAGCAGUAAUGUCCUCAAAUUUUUAAGAGUAAUGUGAAAUAGCCCCACUGAGGUUGAAUUAGUGUAAUAAAAGCAAGUUUUCAGUACUCAGAAUAAGUCAAAUUUAUUUUCCACUUAAUUAAUGUGAUUCUUAGAAGUUACUUUUUGUCCCCGUAAUUCAUAAAAACAGAAGUAAUAUGUCCUUAAAUUUAAGAGGGAUAUAUAGCAUUACUAAGGGAAGCAGACAUUUUGGCCUUCCUAAAUGAUAAACUUAUAUUUUAUAUAUAUAUUUUUAAUUAAAACGAUUGAGAGAUUAUAUCUCAACGUCAAAAGCUGGCAAGAACAUUAACAAAAGGCAGACAGCUAAAAUUGUUUCUGAAAAAGCGCAAGAGAAAUGGAUGCAAAUGUAGUCUUUAAAUAAAAUAAAAAAUAAAAAAAUCAACUUGCUACAACAAAUUGAAGUUGAAAAAAAUAGUAAGGUACAGAGCUUUGAUAUUGCCAAUUCCAUAAAAGUGAUCCAAGCAAAAAUUAACCAGCAAUAAUAAAUCCUUAACAGCUUCAUGCCUACAAAACCAAAGUAGUCGUCAAUUACAUGAACGGAAGAAGAGCAAAAUGUAUCGAAAUGCAAAAAGAGAGUGUUUUUAUUUUUAUUUAUUUUUAAUUUUUAUGUCCGUGGGUAUUCGGACCAGCACGCACACCUUGAAUAAUUCCACGGAACCCUAAAAUUUGCAAUCGGAUACUCACCUCAAUGAUCCUGAGGGGACUCGAACUGGUGAUCAUUAGGGGACAAACUCAAAGCCUAACCACUGAACUACCCCUCAAAGUUGCAAAAAGAGAGAGUUGAAGCAACCAUUGGCACAUAACAAGACAGAUACAUGUCUUCCCAAAUAAUCAAUUAAGAUGGAGCAAUCAAUAAGCAAUAUUUCAAGUACCAGCGCAUUCUAGAUAUUACCAAGUGAACUGGCUGUAAUUGCAGGAUUUCUCUUAUGGGUAUAGCAUUAGUAAAAAUCAAUAAGAUACUUCGUGCUGUAAAAUGUCAUAAUUAUCACUCGGGCUAGUUUUAACGGCGAAAAAGACUUAUCCAUGCACUUGCCUUGCCAGCGAUGUUGCUUGAAAGCCAAUCCAACCCUUCAUAAAGGCCCUCCCCCGAGGUUGCACAUGUGCUCUGGAUAUACCUGGAGCAAUUGGCCGUACAAAAUGAGAGAAAUUUCAAAGCUCCAUGCAUGAAACGGACUUUUAAUUCCAGAAGUUUCGCAAUAGGCUACCUAUGUCUUCUCUUGAGAGUUACAACUUUAUGGAUGAUGUAAACAAAACAAAACAAAAAAUGCAUCAUAUAUGAAGUUGGAUUGACUAAAACUACUGAGUUCAUUUUCUCGUGGAAGUAAUUAUUUCUGCCUCUCAUAAUCAAUUGCUCAAACUACCUAAAGAAAAUACAAGAAAGAUCCAGUAUAAUUAAACACGGGCAAAGUAUAAGAAAAUCUUACCAAUGACGUUGACGAAGAGAGUGGAGGCCAAGUUUGUCUGUAAUUUCUGCAGCAUUCAUUGCAUUAGGCAGAUCUUGCUUAUUAGCAAAUACAAGCAAGACAGCAUCCCUCAAUUCAUCCUGGAGGCAUAAGAGAUACAAUAUUUAAAACUACAUUCACGAGGGAAUAAAGACCUAAAAUAAACAAGUAAUAAAUGAAAAUGUGCCUCGUUCAACAUUCUGUGCAGUUCAUCUCUUGCUUCGACAACUCGAUCCCUGUCGUUGCUAUCAACCACAAAAAUUAGACCCUGAGUAUUUUGGAAGUAGUGCCUCCACAAUGGACGGAUCUGAAUGAAAGAAAAAUGGCAAUCAGCUAGAGCCUAGUGGGUGUAAGUAUAUAGUGAGGGCAGGCAACAAGAAUAGAUGGAAGACAUCUACAGAUGCACACCAUUCAUUUUAUUGACAUAGAUAAUAUAGGAGAGGAAAAUUGUCAAAUGCUGAAAGGCAGCAACAUUAACAGAUGUAGCACACACAUAUAACAUACAGGUAGAUUCAACAUCAUUGCAGUGAAGCCACAUUUCGCUCAUUAUAUUUUUAGGAUUAAUUAAAACCUUCAUCAUUAGAGUCUACCGGUAUUUCCUCCAUAAAUAUCAGGGAUAGCAAGCGGUUGGACUUGUCAAGCUCGAGCAUUGUCUAUCAUGACUAAAUACAAUAAAUACAUUUAAGAGCUUUAUGAAGGAAAAGGAAACGUUUGAAAUUUAUAGAAAGAGAUUGAAGUACUCGGUGUCUCCAGCAUAAGUAAUUCAAAUCACCAGUGCAUCAAAAAAAGUAAGGUAAAGGGAUAAAAAAAUACAUCAAAAUGCGUAACUGUGUAAUUUACAAUAACUUUAUGCGAACAUUUCACUAGUAUUUUUAGAGAAUCCGGAAAUAUUUCAAAGAUAACAAGAAAUAAUCAUUCACAAGGCUCCCCUCUGUCAGGGAAAACCAUUACAUAUACGGAACCUAUGAUUUGGAGUCGAAGCUUAGUGACAAUCACAGGUAAAGCAAUAUUAAAAAUUUAUAAAACCUCUUAAACAUGAUAGAAGACAACAUUUAACGUAAGAGCAGAAUCCUCGAUAGUAGAUAAUUAUAAAGCUCUCAUCUGAAGUGGAUCUGAACGUAAACAGGUACCAAAUCAGACCAAUGAAAACGAAUCCAACCAUUCUCGCGCAAUCAGAUCCACGAUCAACAAUACUCAUA